This 405-nucleotide ribosomal RNA is filed under the name uncultured bacterium. Its description in RNAcentral is "partial 16S ribosomal RNA". It matches the Rfam family "Bacterial small subunit ribosomal RNA", at positions 30 to 526 of the family's 1533-position model. The record is from RNAcentral.
AUUGAACGCUGGCGGCAGGCUUUACACAUGCAAGUCGAACGAGUGGCGGACGGGUGAGUAAUGCAUGGGAACCUAGCUUAUGGAGGGGGAUAACUACGGGAACCUGUAGCUAAUACCGCGUACCAUAGGCUGAGCCCAAGUGGGAUUAGGGAGUUGGUGAGGUAAAGGCUCACCAAGCCGACGAUCUCUAGCUGGUGUGAGAGGCUGACCAGCCACACUGGGACUGAGACACGGCCCAGACUCCUACGGGAGGCAGCAGUGGGGAAUAUUGGACAAGGGGGGCAACCUGACGCAGCCAUGCCGCGUGUAUGAAGAAGGCCUUCGGGUUGUAAAGUUCUUUCGGUAGCGAGGCGUUAUCUGCAGAAGAAGCACCGGCUAACUCCGUGCCAGCCGCCGCGGUAAUUC